This 444-nucleotide ribosomal RNA is filed under the name uncultured bacterium. RNAcentral's name for it is "bacterial SSU rRNA". It matches the Rfam family "Bacterial small subunit ribosomal RNA", at positions 355 to 792 of the family's 1533-position model. The record is from RNAcentral.
UAGGGAAUCUUCGGCAAUGGACGAAAGUCUGACCGAGCAACGCCGCGUGAGUGAAGAAGGUUUUCGGAUCGUAAAACUCUGUUGUUAGAGAAGAACAAGGAUGAGAGUAGAAUGUUCAUCCCUUGACGGUAUCUUACCAGAAAGGGACGGCUAACUACGUGCCAGCAGCCGCGGUAAUACGUAGGUCCCGAGCGUUGUCCGGAUUUAUUGGGCGUAAAGCGAGCGCAGGCGGUUUAAUAAGUCUGAAGUUAAAGGCAGUGGCUCAACCAUUGUACGCUUUGGAAACUGUUAAACUUGAGUGCAGAAGGGGGAGUGGAAUUCCAUGUGUAGCGGUGAAAUGCGUAGAUAUAUGGAGGAACACCGGUGGCGAAAGCGGCUCUCUGGUCUGUAACUGACGCUGAGGCUCGAAAGCGUGGGGAGCAAACAGGAUUAGAUACCCUGGUA